RNAcentral lists this ribosomal RNA (249 nucleotides) under Escherichia sp. E2562. RNAcentral describes it as "partial 16S ribosomal RNA". It matches the Rfam family "Bacterial small subunit ribosomal RNA", at positions 1297 to 1533 of the family's 1533-position model. Lineage: Bacteria; Pseudomonadati; Pseudomonadota; Gammaproteobacteria; Enterobacterales; Enterobacteriaceae. The record is from RNAcentral.
AUUGGAGUCUGCAACUCGACUCCAUUGGAAGUCGGAAUCGCUAGUAAUCGUGGAUCAGAAUGCCACGGUGAAUACGUUCCCGGGCCUUGUACACACCGCCCGUCACACCAUGGGAGUGGGUUGCAAAAGAAGUAGGUAGCUUAACCUUCGGGAGGGCGCUUACCACUUUGUGAUUCAUGACUGGGGUGAAGUCGUAACAAGGUAACCGUAGGGGAACCUGCGGUUGGAUCACCUCCUUACCUUAAAGAA